RNAcentral lists this ribosomal RNA (495 nucleotides) under uncultured bacterium. RNAcentral describes it as "partial 16S ribosomal RNA". It matches the Rfam family "Bacterial small subunit ribosomal RNA", at positions 28 to 507 of the family's 1533-position model. The record is from RNAcentral.
GACGAACGCUGGCGGCGUGCCUAAUACAUGCAAGUAGAACGCUGAAGGAGGAGCUUGCUUCUCUGGAUGAGUUGCGAACGGGUGAGUAACGCGUAGGUAACCUGCCUGGUAGCGGGGGAUAACUAUUGGAAACGAUAGCUAAUACCGCAUAAUAGUAGAUGUUGCAUGACAUUUGCUUAAAAGGUGCAAUUGCAUCACUACCAGAUGGACCUGCGUUGUAUUAGCUAGUUGGUGGGGUAACGGCCCACCAAGGCGACGAUACAUAGCCGACCUGAGAGGGUGAUCGGCCACACUGGGACUGAGACACGGCCCAGACUCCUACGGGAGGCAGCAGUAGGGAAUCUUCGGCAAUGGACGGAAGUCUGACCGAGCAACGCCGCGUGAGGGAAGAAGGUUUUCGGAUCGUAAAGCUCUGUUGUAAGAGAAGAACGAGUGUGAGAGUGGAAAGUUCACACUGUGACGGUAUCUUACCAGAAAGGGACGGCUAACUACGUG